GGCAGCAGUGGGGAAUAUUGGACAAUGGGCGAAGGCCUGAUCCAGCCAUGCCGCGUGUGUGAAGAAGGUCUUCGGAUUGUAAAGCACUUUAAGUUGGGAGGAAGGGCAGUAAGUUAAUACCUUGCUGUUUUGACGUUACCGACAGAAUAAGCACCGGCUAACUCUGUGCCAGCAGCCGCG
This 180-nucleotide ribosomal RNA is filed under the name BTEX-degrading bacterium enrichment culture. Its description in RNAcentral is "partial 16S ribosomal RNA". It matches the Rfam family "Bacterial small subunit ribosomal RNA", at positions 347 to 519 of the family's 1533-position model. The record is from RNAcentral.